RNAcentral lists this ribosomal RNA (1509 nucleotides) under Helicobacter pylori. RNAcentral describes it as "bacterial SSU rRNA". It matches the Rfam family "Bacterial small subunit ribosomal RNA". The record is from RNAcentral. Lineage: Bacteria; Pseudomonadati; Campylobacterota; Epsilonproteobacteria; Campylobacterales; Helicobacteraceae.
UUUAUGGAGAGUUUGAUCCUGGCUCAGAGUGAACGCUGGCGGCGUGCCUAAUACAUGCAAGUCGAACGAUGAAGCUUCUAGCUUGCUAGAAUGCGGAUUAGUGGCGCACGGGUGAGUAACGCAUAGGUCAUGUGCCUCUUAGUUUGGGAUAGCCAUUGGAAACGAUGAUUAAUACCAGAUACUCCCUAUGGGGGAAAGAUUUAUCGCUAAGAGAUCAGCCUAUGUCCUAUCAGCUUGUUGGUAAGGUAAUGGCUUACCAAGGCUAUGACGGGUAUCCGGCCUGAGAGGGUGAACGGACACACUGGAACUGAGACACGGUCCAGACUCCUACGGGAGGCAGCAGUAGGGAAUAUUGCUCAAUGGGGGAAACCCUGAAGCAGCAACGCCGCGUGGAGGAUGAAGGUUUUAGGAUUGUAAACUCCUUUUGUUAGAGAAGAUAAUGACGGUAUCUAACGAAUAAGCACCGGCUAACUCCGUGCCAGCAGCCGCGGUAAUACGGAGGGUGCAAGCGUUACUCGGAAUCACUGGGCGUAAAGAGCGCGUAGGCGGGAUAGUCAGUCAGGUGUGAAAUCCUAUGGCUUAACCAUAGAACUGCAUUUGAAACUACUAUUCUAGAGUGUGGGAGAGGUAGGUGGAAUUCUUGGUGUAGGGGUAAAAUCCGUAGAGAUCAAGAGGAAUACUCAUUGCGAAGGCGACCUGCUGGAACAUUACUGACGCUGAUUGCGCGAAAGCGUGGGGAGCAAACAGGAUUAGAUACCCUGGUAGUCCACGCCCUAAACGAUGGAUGCUAGUUGUUGGAGGGCUUAGUCUCUCCAGUAAUGCAGCUAACGCAUUAAGCAUCCCGCCUGGGGAGUACGGUCGCAAGAUUAAAACUCAAAGGAAUAGACGGGGACCCGCACAAGCGGUGGAGCAUGUGGUUUAAUUCGAAGAUACACGAAGAACCUUACCUAGGCUUGACAUUGAGAGAAUCCGCUAGAAAUAGUGGAGUGUCUGGCUUGCUAGACCUUGAAAACAGGUGCUGCACGGCUGUCGUCAGCUCGUGUCGUGAGAUGUUGGGUUAAGUCCCGCAACGAGCGCAACCCCCUUUCUUAGUUGCUAACAGGUCAUGCUGAGAACUCUAAGGAUACUGCCUCCGUAAGGAGGAGGAAGGUGGGGACGACGUCAAGUCAUCAUGGCCCUUACGCCUAGGGCUACACACGUGCUACAAUGGGGUGCACAAAGAGAAGCAAUACUGCGAAGUGGAGCCAAUCUUCAAAACACCUCUCAGUUCGGAUUGUAGGCUGCAACUCGCCUGCAUGAAGCUGGAAUCGCUAGUAAUCGCAAAUCAGCCAUGUUGCGGUGAAUACGUUCCCGGGUCUUGUACUCACCGCCCGUCACACCAUGGGAGUUGUGUUUGCCUUAAGUCAGGAUGCUAAAUUAGCUACUGCCCACGGCACACACAGCGACUGGGGUGAAGUCGUAACAAGGUAACCGUAGGUGAACCUGCGGUUGGAUCACCUCCUUUCUAGA